Molecule: long non-coding RNA, 3534 nt
Organism: Bombus impatiens (common eastern bumble bee)
Lineage: Eukaryota; Metazoa; Arthropoda; Insecta; Hymenoptera; Apidae
Exons: 2
Source: RefSeq, a predicted model, not a curated record
CUAUAUGCUAUACUACAAAAUCGAGAUAUAAAUAUAUUACUACCAUUAAAGUAUUUGUAAGUAUUUAAAAAUAUACUUCAAACUGAAUUGAUCACAAAAUCAAAAAGUUAAAAUCAGAUCUCCAUAUGUCGAUCAUUUAAAAUCAAUGAAAACCAUUACUUGUAAUUUCCUAUUAUCAAUAUGUAUACGUGCCUCUACCUUAUUCUCCUCACUCGUUAACAAUUUCGCUUUUAUCGAGAGCUAACCAUUACAAGUUACACGUGAGAAUUACACGUUGCACGCGAUCGACUACACGAAUAUCGAACAGCUCGAAUCGCCAUCAACGAAUAAAAUGAUCAUCUUCUACGAGGUUUUUCAAACAACGCAUCGAUCAAACCGGUAUUAAAUAUGGUUCGUACCACAUUACCCAACGUGCACGCGAAUAUCCUCUUAACACGCAGAUCGAGAACAACCAUCUGUAUCACUAAUCGACUAAUAUACGUGUCAAUAUUCGAUUAACGUACGUAGUUGCAUCUCGAACAUAUUCUGAAUCACUUGGUAGAACAACGAUACGAGCUUGCCUCGUAUUUGCAUACGAAAGUGUAUGUUUCUUACGUGUAACAACAUCGAUUCACGAAUGCGAUAAAACGAAAAUCGCACGAGCCUCAGAACGAAUCACGCGUGAAGCAACAGUGAAAAUUUAGAAAGUUUGGAAUAUCGUGUUUGUUAUCUAAUCGAGAUUUAAGGGGUACCAAUGAAAUGUACGAAGAAAAUCCCGUUGUAUCUCUGAUAGGAGAGGAACGAUAAUCACGAACGAUAGAGGAACGAUAAAAUAAAAAAUAAUGUCUUAUGAAAUGGAUAAGAAAUUUGGUGAAAGUGUUUUGAGAGAAGAAAGAAGAGAAGUUUAUGAUAAACGGUUUUAUCGAGCGAGGAGUCAUCAUCGCGAUAAGGAAAUGAGCAGUGGCUCGGGCAAGAUAUAUGCAUAGAUAAGGUAUACGAUAGAUCUAUCAGCCAAUGUAUUUCUUCGUCCUUUGUCUCGGGCGGUAGCAAACUUUCUUAUCAUUCUAGUGUCGUUUCCAAUGUUACCGAUUCAGUAUAGAAUAAGAUCGCGACAUUAGUAGUGGUUGGAAUUAAAACUAAAUGUUACUGUGAAAAUAAGGGUAAAAAGAGGUACAAAAUAGUGUUUGUGAAACGAUUAGAAAGAAAUAUAUUUAUACUCGAUUAAAGGGCAAGUUGUACAAGUAGUUAUGAAUUUGCAGAAACUCGGAUAAAAUUUUCUAUUCUCCGAAUAAUAUCAUUUCUCGCAUAGAUUAUUACAACGUUCCAAGAGUACAUAUUUUAUUUCUAUCUUUCGUAUAUUACGUCAGUCCCUCGACUUAUAACAUAAGUCUCAUCUUUUGGUAAUGGUAAAAUCCCAAACCUUACCUUUGUUAACGUUACAACUAUCCUCAAGCUAGCAUCAGUGCAUUUAAUACUCUUGAAUCUAUCGUUCAAUAUUAUCACAUAAUUUCGACUCGAUCUUCGUUAUUUCGAAAGAAAAAUAUUCCAGAUGAAAUGCAAAUUCCAGAGUCAUGUACAUACAUCUUCUUGGGCCGUCGCACGUAGGAAAUCUUAACGAACCGAAUGAAACGAAUGAAUUAAAAUCCAUGACAUACUAAAAGAAAAAUAUUCCAGGUUAAACGUAAAUUGCAAUGUUAUCUAUGCCCUUGAUCCACAUAUGUCCUAAUUUCUUUUCCAAUACAUAAUGCCAUUUUUCUAUACGAGGUCUAAAUUCAUUUUUCCAGUUACCCUUAGCUAUUUCUUUGCAAUUCUAAACGAUAAAGCAAAAGAGCAACAGCUAAACAUCGCGAAGUAAAAUUAUCUUGCGAAAAUAUUUAUAUAAAAUUCUAAAAUCCUCGAUAAAAUUGAAAAAUCGAUCUCCAUUCUUUCACCUUCCCUCUUCUCCUCUUCAAAGCCAGCCGCGAAACAAUUCUCAGCAACAAAUCAUCUGAAAUUGAAUCAAAGAGAAUCAAAAGGCUUCAUCGCGUUCGAAUCUGAGAGAUGCAACGAGAAGGAAAUCGCCGAGAGGCGUGCAAGAUUUGCACACGCGGGCAAUAAAAUAGUAUCGAUCAGUCGAUGAGAACAAUGGAGGAGGCUGGCAAGAAUUCAAAAGUUUGCCAGCAAGUAUCGUUCUGUUUCCAGGAAGCCGUUCGAUGGAAGGGGUUUUCGACCCUAUUCCAGCCUCGUGCUGCCGGUUGCGGACCAGCGGCCACCGCGUGUAUCGACUAACGUCGGUGUAUUGACUAAUGACUGGUAGGCUGUUGCAAGUAGUACCACUCCGUGUCAGGACGGACACACUCGAGUCUCGCGACCAUAUUAAUGGCGCGCGACCGCCGCGAACACAGGGGUUAAGGCGCAUUUAUGUAACACGUAGGCGAGGAGUUCCUUCGACGUCGCGCGACCUACAUUUCCUGACCAAUGUCUGGGAAAAACGGGGUCAUGAACGCGAACGAUACGCUGGCAACCGUUUGCGGAAAAAGCCUAUUCUUAAUUUUGCCAAUAUGACGAUGCCUCGUUCUGGUGUUCGUAAGAUUUCAAAAAGUUUCGUACGAUACACAUAACAUAUAUUUAUAAAAGUUUUCUAUGGUAAAUAUCCACGAUACUUUUACGAAUCAUUGUACGUUGGCGGAAGUAAUCAUUUCCGAACAAAUAGUCGAACGUUUUUUACAAUAGUUCGUCUUUUACUCGAAGAUGAGAUAUUUUGUUUUCGUAGAUAAAAUUCUUCGAAAUUCUCUUCCUUGUUUCGUAGAGUUCGCGAGAGAUACUCGUUAAAAAAUCGUUAUUAUUAACGUAUUAAAAUAUAGAGCAAAAACUAUCGAGUACAAAAAAGCUAGACCAUAUAGUAUAUAAUUGAGAAUAAUACAAAAUCUUUCGUGCAUAUACGAUCGAUGUUGAUCGAUGAAUCUUCUCGAUAACAACAAACAAUGUAGAAAGAAAAUCACAGGAUUGGAAUGAAUAUCAUAACGAAUAAAUUAGAAUCACCUUUAAAGUCACUGUUCGAUAAUUAACAUCUGCAUUAGUAAUUGCAUGGCACUUCGUUUUAUUAAAAAGAAACGUGUAACGAACGUAGAAGCACACAAAUAUACAAGUCCUCGUUAAUUUGAGCGAAUUUCGCAAUCAAAAUCUCAAUAAUCGCGUAAUCGAUGCUUGUUAAGGAUAUUGGAAUAAAUGAAUACAAAGCGUUAUACCGAGUCGUAUAUCGAGUGAAAUUUGCGAUAUCUACGAUCUCGCCAUUUAUUAUUGGAAUAUCAUCUUACUAUUCUAUGGCGCUAGGACAAUAAUCGUUAAUAUUGUACCGUUAUCGUCGAAUUCGUAUCACGACGUAUGUAGUACACCUGUCAUUGCGCUCGGACAACUAGAAUCGCACCGUAGAAUCCACCGUGAUUCGAGUUUCCUGCGUCCUGAUCGCAAGUUAUCAACGCAUGCAGGAUGAAAGCACGCGAAAUUAAACGCUUCAUUAACAACACGCACGAUCGCAACAUCUUCUCCUUUUUGUUUAACGAAAGCGCUCGUUGA